RNAcentral lists this ribosomal RNA (489 nucleotides) under uncultured bacterium. RNAcentral's name for it is "partial 16S ribosomal RNA". It matches the Rfam family "Bacterial small subunit ribosomal RNA", at positions 30 to 506 of the family's 1533-position model. The record is from RNAcentral.
AUUGAACGCUGGCGGCAGGCCUAACACAUGCAAGUCGAACGGUAACAGAAAGCAGCUUGCUGCUUUGCUGACGAGUGGCGGACGGGUGAGUAAUGUCUGGGAAACUGCCUGAUGGAGGGGGAUAACUACUGGAAACGGUAGCUAAUACCGCAUAACGUCGCAAGACCAAAGAGGAGGACCUUCGGGCCUCUUGCCAUCGGAUGUGCCCAGAUGGGAUUAGCUAGUAGGUGGGGUAACGGCUCACCUAGGCGACGAUCCCUAGCUGGUCUGAGAGGAUGACCAGCCACACUGGAACUGAGACACGGUCCAGACUCCUACGGGAGGCAGCAGUGGGGAAUAUUGCACAAUGGGCGCAAGCCUGAUGCAGCCAUGCCGCGUGUAUGAAGAAGGCCUUCGGGUUGUAAAGUACUUUCAGCGGGGAGGAAGGGAGUAAAGUUAAUACCUUUGCUCAUUGACGUUACCCGCAGAAGAAACACCGGCUAACUCCGU